Molecule: microRNA precursor, 131 nt
Filed under: Scleropages formosus (Asian bonytongue)
Lineage: Eukaryota; Metazoa; Chordata; Actinopteri; Osteoglossiformes; Osteoglossidae
Description: MIR480 microRNA precursor family
Rfam family: MIR480 microRNA precursor family
Source: Rfam by way of RNAcentral
UAUACCAUUGGUGGUAAAGAUUGGUGUGAUUCUGUCAAAUUUUUCAGCAUCACUACCCACCUCAAGUACUUCUGUUUUACUGGCAUUCGGAAAUAAAAAAUGAUUACUCAUCCAUAAUUUUAUAUUGGUAA